RNAcentral lists this long non-coding RNA (1134 nucleotides) under Anas platyrhynchos platyrhynchos (common mallard). Its description in RNAcentral is "lncRNA (ENSAPLG00000027667.1)". The record is from RNAcentral. Lineage: Eukaryota; Metazoa; Chordata; Aves; Anseriformes; Anatidae.
GCUCUGCCUGAGCUAAUUAAAAGCAAAUUGUUUAUAGCUUACAAAUUCCUAUCUUUGUUUGGCUGUUGGGGCUUGUUAUUUUUAAGGGUGUGUGAACUGUGAUUUCUGAGAAGUGUUAAUGAGUUCUCUUGGUUGCUUUCAUCUGAGAAUACAAAAUUUUACUAAAAUGUCAUUCUUUCUCUUUUAAAUGGUUCUGUUCUGUUAGGUGUCCAAACUGUGGUGGUGGUUUUUCUUUUUUUUUUUUUUUUUUCAUUUUUUCCCCUCCUUUGUUUUUGUUUUUAAUGCUUUUCUAAUGAGGGUGAUUUUCUUUAAGCUGCUGAGUGUUUUCUGUGGGGUACUAAGCCCCUGGAGGCUGUGGGCAUUGAAAGGUGCCUGACAUCUUAAACAGCUAGGUCCCUUUUAAUGUUAGCAUUUUUGCUUACGUUUAAUGGAUGAGGGUGGAUCUUCUUGGAGGUGAAGGUGUAGGAACCAAUUUUGACCACGUCCUCUAUGCUCCCUGCUAAGGGAAGGGGGGAAGCAAAUCAUUAAAAAUUAAUUAAAAGAAGAAAAGGAAAAGUAAGGAAUAUACUGUGUUUAAGACAGGGGAAGCAAGGAAUGUUGAAAGUUCUCUGCUUUGUGCUUUUCAUGUGUAAGACAAAAACUUACUGCCUGUCAGAAGUGGUAUAAGAAAAUCCAUCAACGUGUACGUGGUAUGUUGACUGCUAUGCAGAAGAUCAUACGUAACAUUUAAAUUUAACAAUUUCAACAAGUUCUUUUUGUUUUCUUCUGAAAAAUAUGAGGUUAAAGAGUAAGACUGUGACUUGCUGACUCUACAGAUAAAUAUUUCGAUCAGCUUGGAGUAAUAUCUGAAUGGAGUCGUUGGAGAACACAGUACAGAGAUAUCCAAGUUCCCUGGGUCUGCAACAGCAUGUGUCCAGAAUGAGGCUGGCUGUAUUUGUGUGAUAACAUGGGGUGCCUAGCAAGGAGGGAGAAGAGCUUUUCUGUGAGACCUUGUACUGUGACAUGGCAUCUUCCGGAUCCAGGCUGGUCCAGAUCUCUGAAACACAGCCAGCAAAUCUCCUGCCGCUGAGAGGAUGGCUGUGAAACAACUUUAGAUUUGCAGCACGUUGGCUGUUGCUCGGUAAUUGUUCUGUG